RNAcentral lists this ribosomal RNA (253 nucleotides) under uncultured bacterium. Its description in RNAcentral is "partial 16S ribosomal RNA". It matches the Rfam family "Bacterial small subunit ribosomal RNA", at positions 524 to 776 of the family's 1533-position model. The record is from RNAcentral.
UACGGAGGGGGCAAGCGUUGUUCGGAAUUAUUGGGCGUAAAGCGUAUGUAGGCGGCUAGGUAAGUCAGGCGUGCAAGCCCGUGGCUCAACCACGGAAUUGCGUUUGAAACUACUUAGCUUGAGUACAGGAGAGGAAAGCGGAAUUCCCAGUGUAGCGGUGAAAUGCAUUGAUAUUGGGAAGAACAUCUGUGGCGAAGGCGGCUUUCUGGUCUGUUACUGACGCUGAGAUACGAAAGCCAGGGUAGCGAACGGG